UACGUCCGAUAGAAUUCAGCAUCACUGUG
RNAcentral lists this non-coding RNA (29 nucleotides) under Mus musculus (house mouse). Lineage: Eukaryota; Metazoa; Chordata; Mammalia; Rodentia; Muridae. The record is from RNAcentral.